Molecule: non-coding RNA, 295 nt
Organism: Oryzias latipes (Japanese medaka)
Lineage: Eukaryota; Metazoa; Chordata; Actinopteri; Beloniformes; Adrianichthyidae
Source: RefSeq, a predicted model, not a curated record
UUGGACAAGGGAUAUAAAUUCGUCCACGAAGAGUUUAUCCACCAUUACCAAGAUAUCGCUGGAUGCAUUAAGUGCCAACCUGAAAGCUUUCUCCUGCAGUUGUGUGGCUGCUAAAGGAUUCUGCAAUGACAUCCUUUUGCCAUCCUGUUCCAGAGCGCACAUUAUUCACAGCUGGGUCUGCAGGCUGCUCCACCCACCCUGUCCUGCACGAGUGACUUGCAAAGACGGCACAGACCAAGAGCACAGGGAAUCCAUCCUGAACCGGUUAGUGAGCUGGUGGUGCAAAGGCCCAAAA